Long non-coding RNA from Brachypodium distachyon (stiff brome), 2304 nucleotides. RefSeq lists it as uncharacterized. The transcript is spliced from 5 exons. NCBI's taxonomy places the organism in Eukaryota, Viridiplantae, Streptophyta, Magnoliopsida, Poales, Poaceae. The record is from RefSeq and is a predicted model, not a curated record.
UUCUGAUAUUCCCAGUGCCUCUUCGUUCUGCUCCCUACUCCGCUUGCUCCCCUGCCCCAGCCCAAGUCCGCCUAGGGCCUGGCCAGUGCUGCCCCAUCGCUCUUGGCCGGAGCCGGCCCUCCUGCCCCUGCCCGACGCCGCUGCCCGCUACCCCAUCGUCAGCGCCGCCUCCGCGCGUCCCCAUACUCCCCCAGGUUCCAUCCGCGCCGCCUGCAGCCUGCGCUGUUACCCUGUGGCGCCUCGCGCCGCCGUGCCCGCAGCGAAUGGUGCUCUGCCGCGGCGUCGCCGCGGUGGCUGCUGCUACACGGCCGCGCGUGCCGCGCCGCAGGCUGCCCUGUGCCCGCUGCUUUGCUCUUCCCCAAUUUCUAUAUCCAGAUGAAGGCCGUGUAGUGCUGAUAGUAUUAUCAAAAGCAGAAAUGCAAGAAGCACGAAUGAGGUUACAGCAGAAAUGUUUCAGAUUUUGUAACAUUUUUGUUAUGAAGUACUCCCUCCGUUUCUAAAUUUUUGUCGAAAUAUUACAUGUAUGUAGAUGCUUUUUAAGAAUAAAUACAUCCUUUUUUGGGCAAAUUUGAGACAAGAAUUUAAGAAUGGAGGGAGUAAUUUGCUUCAAACUUUAAGCUGUCUGAGGUAAAGAAACUUGGGAAGCUUGGUAAAGGUGCUAACAAGAGGAAGCGGUGGGGGAGAGGUCUGGAGCUGGAUCCAUGGAUGGAUUCGCAGGAUGAUGGCUGGAUCUGCAUAGUUGACUGGGGAUGUGUCACUUUGUGUACAUUGCUAUACAGCUUGUGAAUGACAUACUCUGUUAAACUUGUAUUUGUUUGUUCUCUACUACUAUGAAGUAUGAACGUAUCAUGAUGAACUCACGGGGUGAAAAUGUGGCUUGCUAGAAAAUGUACUCCUCUUCUGAAAUAUGUGCUUCAGUGGCAUAUAAUUUGAAAAUGGUUUAGGCUAUACUUUUCUGUGCUUCUGACUUCAGUCUCAUAGAUCACAACAUGAACUUUUUGCAUCCAAUGUCUGAUGGGUGUAGCAGCAACAAGUAUACUGUCAGGCAUUAAUCUCGUCCUUCUGCUGGGGUGUAACAUUGGCUCUUCUACAGGCAUUAGAAGCUCUCCUACGAGCAUUAAUCUCCUCCCUCUUCUCGGCUGUAAUGCUGGCUCUUCUACGUGCAUUUAUCUCCUCCCUCUGCUGCGGCGUGAUGCUGGCUCUUCUACGGGCAUUAAUCUCCUCCCUCUGCUGCGGCGUGAUGCUGGCUCUUCUACGGGCAUUAAUCUCCUCCCUCUGCUUGGGUGUUAUCAUACCUCGUCGAGCUUUAUCACGUUCCCGUCUUGCUCGAUUUUUCUCUUCUCUCGUAUUGUGAGCUGUAUCAUACUGUGAACCAUGUGUUGGGCUCGUAACGUCAAUUUGAACCGGCAUGUCCUGAUCAUCAUCACCUGAGUUUGUGUAGCUGCAGCUCAUAGGUUUCGCUGGUUCUUGUACACAUUGACCUGUUGGGCAACAUUGCAUCAAUGAUAUGGAAAUUAAUUGCGUGCACUUUUUCUUUUGGCAUUGGUUAGUAAUUGUCGUAACUUCAAACAUGUAUAGUACUGCUUAAUUGCUCCAGGUACUGUAAAUUUUGUUUUCCUAUAUGGACGUCAGAUGAUGUGCUGAAGAUUUUUUAUUUCAGGGUGCCGAUGGUGUUUUAGUACCUGGUGGCUUUUGAGACAGAGGUGUCCAAGGAAAAAUCCUGGCUGCUAAGUAUGGCCGUGAAAAUGAUGUACCAUAUCUUGGUAUAUGUCUUGGAAUGCAGAUGGCUGUUGUAGAGUUUGCUCGGAAUGUCAUGAAUCUCUGACGCAAACAGCACUGAAUUUGAUCCCAAUGCCAAGACCCCAUGUGUUAUUUUUAUGCCUGAGGUGGUGUACUUGCUAAGGCAACUUCACGAGGAUAUGCUCUCAAUUAUUGAACAGAAAUAGCUACGGAGGGGAACAGAGAAGAGAGAAGCUUGUAGGAGAGGAGAUAAACCUUUUGCCGAUGCUGAAGAAUGUUUGCCGCCAUGGAUGGUUGUGGAUUGAAGUUGAAAGUGUUGGAUUGCGGUGUACCUCUGCCCACCACGCCUGGAUUUAAAGGCCAGGGUGCCGGAGGUGUUGACAAAACAUAGCUGGAUUAGGACUCGGCGUCUGAGUGUUUGCCAAAACAUAGUAGGAUUAGGACUGCUAUUUUGUAUUUUGGAGUUCAGACAAUUUAGCUAUGUAUUUUCAGUUGAUAGUCUUGUUAAUUUGUUUUUUUUUAUUAUGUCAGAUCAAUUGAUAAUGUUAUCACUCCCCUUGUCCA